This 176-nucleotide ribosomal RNA is filed under the name uncultured bacterium. RNAcentral describes it as "partial 16S rRNA". It matches the Rfam family "Bacterial small subunit ribosomal RNA", at positions 338 to 524 of the family's 1533-position model. The record is from RNAcentral.
CCUACGGGAGGCAGCAGUGGGGAAUAUUGCGCAAUGGGCGGAAGCCUGACGCAGCGACGCCGCGUGGGGGAUGACGGCCUUCGGGUUGUAAACCUCUUUCGACCUUGACGAAGCCUUUGGGUGACGGUAGGGGUAGAAGAAGCACCGGCCAACUACGUGCCAGCAGCCGCGGUAAU